RNAcentral lists this ribosomal RNA (1021 nucleotides) under Neodidymelliopsis sp. BX-2018a. RNAcentral describes it as "partial large subunit ribosomal RNA". It matches the Rfam family "Eukaryotic large subunit ribosomal RNA", at positions 62 to 1103 of the family's 3401-position model. The record is from RNAcentral. Lineage: Eukaryota; Fungi; Ascomycota; Dothideomycetes; Pleosporales; Didymellaceae.
AAGACAACAGGGAUUGCCCUAGUAACGGCGAGUGAAGCGGCAACAGCUCAAAUUUGAAAUCUGGCGUCUUUGGCGUCCGAGUUGUAAUUUGCAGAGGGCGCUUUGGCAUCGGCAGCGGUCCAAGUUCCUUGGAACAGGACGUCACAGAGGGUGAGAAUCCCGUACGUGAUCGCUAGCCUUUACCGUGUAAAGCCCCUUCGACGAGUCGAGUUGUUUGGGAAUGCAGCUCUAAAUGGGAGGUAAAUUUCUUCUAAAGCUAAAUACUGGCCAGAGACCGAUAGCGCACAAGUAGAGUGAUCGAAAGAUGAAAAGCACUUUGGAAAGAGAGUUAAAAAGCACGUGAAAUUGUUGAAAGGGAAGCGCUUGCAGCCAGACUUGCCUGUAGUUGCUCAUCCGGGUUUCUACCCGGUGCACUCUUCUAUAGGCAGGCCAGCAUCAGUUUGGGCGGUUGGAUAAAGGUCUCUGUCAUGUACCUCUCUUCGGGGAGAACUUAUAGGGGAGACGACAUGCAACCAGCCUGGACUGAGGUCCGCGCAUCUGCUAGGAUGCUGGCGUAAUGGCUGUAAGCGGCCCGUCUUGAAACACGGACCAAGGAGUCUAACAUCUAUGCGAGUGUUUGGGUGUCAAGCCCGAACGCGUAAUGAAAGUGAACGGAGGUGGGAACCUUUCGGGGUGCACCAUCGACCGAUCCUGAUGUCUUCGGAUGGAUUUGAGUAAGAGCAUAGCUGUUGGGACCCGAAAGAUGGUGAACUAUGCUUGAAUAGGGUGAAGCCAGAGGAAACUCUGGUGGAGGCUCGCAGCGGUUCUGACGUGCAAAUCGAUCGUCAAAUUUGGGCAUAGGGGCGAAAGACUAAUCGAACUAUCUAGUAGCUGGUUCCUGCCGAAGUUUCCCUCAGGAUAGCAGUAACGUUUUCAGUUUUAUGAGGUAAAGCGAAUGAUUAGAGGCCUGGGGGUUGAAACAACCUUCACCUAUUCUCAAACUUUAAAUAUGUAAGAAGUCCUUGUUACUUGAUUGAACGUG